This 465-nucleotide ribosomal RNA is filed under the name uncultured bacterium. RNAcentral's name for it is "bacterial SSU rRNA". It matches the Rfam family "Bacterial small subunit ribosomal RNA", at positions 338 to 795 of the family's 1533-position model. The record is from RNAcentral.
CCUACGGGUGGCAGCAGUGGGGAAUUUUGGACAAUGGGCGAAAGCCUGAUCCAGCAAUGCCGCGUGCAGGAUGAAGGCCUUCGGGUUGUAAACUGCUUUUGUACGGAACGAAAAGCCUUGGGAUAAUACCCCGGGGCCAUGACGGUACCGUAAGAAUAAGCACCGGCUAACUACGUGCCAGCAGCCGCGGUAAUACGUAGGGUGCAAGCGUUAAUCGGAAUUACUGGGCGUAAAGCGUGCGCAGGCGGUUAUGUAAGACAGAUGUGAAAUCCCCGGGCUCAACCUGGGAACUGCAUUUGUGACUGCAUAGCUGGAGUGCGGCAGAGGGGGAUGGAAUUCCGCGUGUAGCAGUGAAAUGCGUAGAUAUGCGGAGGAACACCGAUGGCGAAGGCAAUCCCCUGGGCCUGCACUGACGCUCAUGCACGAAAGCGUGGGGAGCAAACAGGAUUAGAUACCCGAGUAGUC